Molecule: long non-coding RNA, 347 nt
Organism: Topomyia yanbarensis
Lineage: Eukaryota; Metazoa; Arthropoda; Insecta; Diptera; Culicidae
Exons: 3
Source: RefSeq, a predicted model, not a curated record
GGUUUUACAUAGGAAUUCCUGAGCGCGCCCCCGGCGCAAAAUCUAUUCAUAAAGGCUUAAAAAUAAUGGCUUAAAAAAAUAGUUGGCCAAAUUAUUGCUCUUAAAAAUUUCGAUUUUUCGCAAAGCUCUCAUUCUAAAUUCCCUUGUAGAAGCUCAUCAAUCAAUGCUUUCUAUGGUGUAAGUAUGUAUUACACAGGACAAAAUCCAAUAUUUCAUUUAAUUGAUAAUGUUGAAUUGCUCGGGUGAUUUCAACAAACUAGUAGAGAAUGUUAAGCCUUCAAGUCGGCGGCGGAGAAAAUACCCAACGAUUUUUCGUUUAAGUCAGCGACUUCAUAGGAAUUAGUGCC